CGACGCCGCGUGGGUGAAGAAGGCCGAGAGGUUGUAAAGCCCUUUUCUCAUGGAGGAAUAACACCUUGAGGAAAUGUGAGGUGGAUGACGUUAAAUGAGGAAUAAGCUCCGGCCAAUUACGUGCCAGCAGCCGCGGUAAUACGUAAGGAGCGAGCGUUGUUCGGAAUUAUUGGGCGUAAAGGGCUCGUAGGCGGCCUGCCAAGUCUCUCGUGAAAGACCAGGGCUCAACCCUGGGAGUGCGAGGGAAACUGGCAGGCUUUGGAAUCUUGGAGAGGGCGCUGGAAUUCCUGGUGUAGGGGUGAAAUCUGUUGAUAUCAGGAAGAACACCGGAGGCGAAGGCGAGCGCCUGGCCAAAGAUUGACGCUGAUGAGCGAAAGCGUAGGGAGCAAACAGGAUUAGAUACCCUGGUAGUCUACGCUGUAAACGAUGUGCACUUGAUGGUGGUUCCAUGCGGGAUCACUGUCGGAGCUAACGC
This 475-nucleotide ribosomal RNA is filed under the name uncultured bacterium. Its description in RNAcentral is "bacterial SSU rRNA". It matches the Rfam family "Bacterial small subunit ribosomal RNA", at positions 392 to 858 of the family's 1533-position model. The record is from RNAcentral.